UUUUUUGUUUGGCAUAGAAAUUUGAUCUUGGAUUGGGUUGUGGCCUUAGGGGUGAUGCUAUUUUAUGCCUACGCUGGAUUUGGAGUUUUGGUUGUUAUAAUUGCUUUUGAUAAUGAGGUUUCUUUCCUUGGCUGACAUGAUACUACAUUUUUCUUUUGUAGAAUUAAAGAAUGUGACAGAUGAUGUUGGUGGAGUUUAUCCUUUUAGUAGUAAAAUUAGAGGAGAAAAAAAAAAGGACAAGAAGCUGCAUGAUGUAUUGAAAAGGAUUUGAAGAGGAAAGAAAAGAAAAUGACUAAAUAUUUAUGUUUGUGGAUUUGUUCUGGGAGCCUCCUCUAAAAUGCUAUGAGUUUUUGUACCAUCCCAUUUGAGUGAAAAUGAGCUAGGCUAUAAUAUUUUCCUUGUUAUUAAUUUGUGACAAAACUGUUAUGUGUUUGAUACCCUUUUUUAGUAUGUUUUGUGGCAAAUUAAAUAACAGAAUGAUGAGUAGGAUGGGACAAGUAGAAAGUAUUUAUGGAACAGAUUUAACUCUAAAAAUUAAAAUGUGUUAUUUAUGCACUUUCCCUGUGAAGGAAAAAAUUGAAAAUUGUCUUUUUCUAGGUUUCAGAUUGAACUUUUGCCUAAUCUUUAAUAUAUUUUGUCUUUUUUUAUUCAUUCCCUCUCAUAGUUUAGCUAAUGUGACUUCUUUUGCUUUUGGGGCCAGUGGAGCUCUCACCCUUCUGAUCCCUGAACUUCUAGUUUUUUUCUCUGUUCAUUUAUAUAGCAAGGAAGCCGAAUAUGGCUAAAUGAUUGUGACAAUCUGUGAUAAUAGUUUAACAAAUUAUUCCUGUUUGCAGUGGUAAAAAAUUGUAGUUUGGGUGAGGAAUGCUAUUUAUUCUAAUUUUUAACCAUGAAGAAAUGCUCACUUACUAUUGCUAUUCUUGUUUUUGCAGAAUAUGUUGGUCCAUAUCGUUCUGUCGAAUGGAUCUCAUCUAGAAAUUUCAAUAAAUAAUCUUGUGGCUGCUUGUUGCAGUGUAAUCAAGUUCAACUGUUGCUGUAAGUAUCAUUUAGCUGAUUGCAUCAUAAGUCCCUUUGACGAUAACAAAAGUGCCCUAAUUAGAUUACACAUUUUCAUGGUUCGAUUAUCAGUUAAGUUCUAAAGGCAGUCCUGGUAAGGGAUCACUUGGGUUGUUCCUGUUGCUAAAGAGGAUCCAGGUAAACUGAUUAAGUGUUCAAUGCAAGCAUCACAACUCAGAAGUAGAGGCAUGUCUACCAGAUUGUACUAUCAACCGAUGCAGGAAGUUGACGCCUACUGCAUGCCUCAGCUCCAAAGUUUGGACCACCAGCUAUGCUACAGUGGCAGCAGCCAAGGAUCCAAUUUAUUCAUUCUGAAUUCCCGUGAACAAUACUGCACCCUUGAGUCAUCUUCAGCAAAUGGCAGUUAUACUGUUUACAACUCUCCAUCAACCAUUAGUUUUUCACCCAAUGGAAGUCCUGUGUCACAGCAAGAGUCUCAAUCAUACCCACCUGAUACACGCCAUUCUCCUGACAAUAACUAUGGCUCCCCAGUAAGUGGUUCCUGCAUAACUGAUACUGUCCAUGACUAUCAGAACAAGUUGACAGAAUUAGAAAAUGCAUUGUUUGGUCCUGAUUCUGAUAUUAUUGACAGCACCUUUCUGAAUGGGACAACCAUUAAGUCACCUGAAAUGGAUAGCUUAAGACAAAUAGUGGAGGCAAUUUCUAGAGGGGACCUCAAAUAUGUUCUUGUUGUCUGUGCACAAGCAGUGUCAGAUAAUGAUCUUUUAAAGGCACAAUGGUUAAUGGAUGAACUGAGACAAAUGGUGUCUGUUUCUGGUGAACCAAUUCAAAGAUUGGGUGCAUACAUGUUGGAGGGGCUUGUUGCUCGGCUAGCCUCCUCAGGAAGUUCCAUCUACAAAGCUUUGAGAUGCAGAGAACCGGCCAGUGCUGAGAUGCUUUCUUACAUGCACAUUCUUUAUGAGGUGUGUCCCUAUUUCAAGUUUGGAUACAUGUCUGCAAAUGGUGCUAUUGCAGAAGCCAUGAAGGAUGAAAACAGGGUUCACAUCAUUGAUUUCCAAAUUGGUCAGGGGAGUCAGUGGGUCACUUUAAUCCAGGCCUUUGCAGCUAGACCUGGUGGGCCACCCCACAUCCGCAUUACAGGAAUUGAUGAUUCCACAUCAGCAUAUGCCCGUGGAGGAGGACUGAAUAUUGUGGGGAAGAGGCUAUCUAGGCUUGCUCAGAUAGUUAAGGUGCCAUUUGAAUUUCAUGCUGCUGCCAUGUCUGGUUGCGAGGUUCAGGUAGAGGACCUUGGCGUUCUUCCUGGGGAGGCACUAGCUGUGAAUUUUGCAUUUGUGCUUCACCACAUGCCUGAUGAAAGUGUCAGCACUCAGAAUCAUCGGGACCGGCUUCUGAGGCUGGUUAAAAGCCUGUCUCCAAAGGUGGUGACCCUUGUUGAGCAGGAAUCCAACACAAAUACUGCUGCAUUCUUUCCUCGGUUCCUUGAGACACUAAACUAUUAUAUGGCAAUGUUUGAAUCAAUUGACGUAACUCUCCCUAGAGAUCUUAAGGAGCGGAUCAAUGUUGAGCAGCACUGCCUGGCAAGGGAUGUUGUUAACAUAAUAGCAUGUGAGGGAACUGAGAGGGUGGAACGACAUGAGCUUCUUGGGAAGUGGAGGUCACGGUUCAGAAUGGCAGGGUUUACUCCAUACCCUUUAAGCUCGUUGGUGAAUUCCACCAUCAAAACUCUGCUCGAGAGUUAUUGUGAUAAAUAUAGACUCGAAGAGAGAGAUGGAGCACUUUAUCUUGGUUGGAUGAACAGAGAUUUGGUAGCAUCUUGUGCAUGGAAAUGAAAACCGGGUACCAAAUCCGCUCUGUUUUAGGAACAUGUGCAGCCAGCUGAGGUAGAACUUGUGGUAUUUUGAAUGUUUUUUCACCUUUUGCUCUGAACGGAUUUGAGAAGAAAUAUGGUAGCCUCAACUCUGUACUUUUCUUUUAAAUGAGGAAAGUUGGCCAUUUUCUUGAAACCACCAUUUCAAUGCCUUGAACCUUUUUUUUUUUUUUUU
Molecule: unclassified non-coding RNA, 3056 nt
Filed under: Hevea brasiliensis (rubber tree)
Lineage: Eukaryota; Viridiplantae; Streptophyta; Magnoliopsida; Malpighiales; Euphorbiaceae
Source: RNAcentral